Mercenaria mercenaria is the source of this 479-nucleotide long non-coding RNA. RefSeq lists it as uncharacterized. The record is from RefSeq and is a predicted model, not a curated record. The transcript is spliced from 3 exons. NCBI's taxonomy places the organism in Eukaryota, Metazoa, Mollusca, Bivalvia, Venerida, Veneridae.
UGGAACAACAUAUGGAUCUGUAGCAACUUUCAGUUGCAAUGACGGAUUUGAUUUAAAAGGCUCAAAACACGCUGCUUGCCAAGCCAACAGUUCAUGGAAUGUUUCAUCCCCUAUUUGUAUCAUAAAAGACUGUGGUGUUUUGCAAGAUCCAGUCAGUGGAGUGAUCACAUAUGCCAGAAAUAUGACAUCUUAUAGUUCCAAUGCUACGUAUUCCUGCAAACCUGGAUAUAACAGGAUUGGUCCUGAAACAAUAUAUUGUAAUGCAUCAGGACAUUGGAGCAGCAACACAACUUUUUGUCAGAUAAAAGAUUGUGGAAACCUUACAGAUCCGUUGUACGGAAAAACAGACAUGUCAAACGGCACGACAUACUUAUCAGUGGUCAAGUAUAGUUGUAACAUCGGAUACACAUUAAAUGGAGAUAACGCUACGACAUGUACAGCCACAGGAAAUUGGAGCGAUCAUUACGUGAACUGCACAA